Molecule: transfer RNA, 72 nt
Filed under: Marmota monax (woodchuck)
Lineage: Eukaryota; Metazoa; Chordata; Mammalia; Rodentia; Sciuridae
Description: tRNA.Ala
Source: RNAcentral
UGUGAUGUGGCUCAUGGGUAGAGCCCUUGCCUAGCGUAUGUGAGGCACUGGGAUGGAUUCCCAGCACCACAU